RNAcentral lists this transfer RNA (73 nucleotides) under Staphylococcus aureus. Its description in RNAcentral is "tRNA-Lys". It matches the Rfam family "tRNA". From Rfam's summary of the family: Transfer RNA (tRNA) molecules are approximately 80 nucleotides in length. Their secondary structure includes four short double-helical elements and three loops (D, anti-codon, and T loops). Lineage: Bacteria; Bacillati; Bacillota; Bacilli; Caryophanales; Staphylococcaceae. The record is from RNAcentral.
GAGCCAUUAGCUCAGYUGGKAGAGCAUCUGACUUUUAAUCAGAGGGUCAGAGGUUCGAAUCCUCUAUGGCUCA